CCUACGGGUGGCAGCAGUGGGGAAUAUUGGACAAUGGGCGAAAGCCUGAUCCAGCCAUGCCGCGUGUGUGAAGAAGGCCUUCGGGUUGUAAAGCACUUUCAGUGGGGAAGAAAGCCUUGGGGCUAAUACCCUCGAGGAAGGACAUCACCCACAGAAGAAGCACCGGCUAACUCCGUGCCAGCAGCCGCGGUAAUACGGAGGGUGCGGGCGUUAAUCGGAAUUACUGGGCGUAAAGCGCGCGUAGGCGGUCUGAUAAGCCGGUUGUGAAAGCCCCGGGCUCAACCUGGGAACGGCAUCCGGAACUGUCAGGCUAGAGUGCAGGAGAGGAAGGUAGAAUUCCCGGUGUAGCGGUGAAAUGCGUAGAGAUCGGGAGGAAUACCAGUGGCGAAGGCGGUCUUCUGGACUGACACUGACGCUGAGGUGCGAAAGCGUGGGUAGCAAACAGGAUUAGAUACCCCGGUAGUC
Molecule: ribosomal RNA, 465 nt
Filed under: Vreelandella stevensii
Lineage: Bacteria; Pseudomonadati; Pseudomonadota; Gammaproteobacteria; Oceanospirillales; Halomonadaceae
Description: partial 16S ribosomal RNA
Rfam family: Bacterial small subunit ribosomal RNA
Source: RNAcentral